RNAcentral lists this ribosomal RNA (535 nucleotides) under uncultured bacterium. Its description in RNAcentral is "bacterial SSU rRNA". It matches the Rfam family "Bacterial small subunit ribosomal RNA", at positions 975 to 1509 of the family's 1533-position model. The record is from RNAcentral.
UUGGCCUUGACAUACUAAGAACUUUCCAGAGAUGGAUUGGUGCCUUCGGGAACUUAGAUACAGGUGCUGCAUGGCUGUCGUCAGCUCGUGUCGUGAGAUGUUGGGUUAACGUCCGCAACGAGCGCAACCCUUUUCCUUAUUUGCCAGCGGGUAAUGCCGGGAACUUUAAGGAUACUGCCAGUGACAAACUGGAGGAAGGCGGGGACGACGUCAAGUCAUCAUGGCCCUUACGGCCAGGGCUACACACGUGCUACAAUGGUCGGUACAAAGGGUUGCUACCUCGCGAGAGGAUGCUAAUCUCAAAAAGCCGAUCGUAGUCCGGAUCGCAGUCUGCAACUCGACUGCGUGAAGUCGGAAUCGCUAGUAAUCGCGGAUCAGAAUGCCGCGGUGAAUACGUUCCCGGGCCUUGUACACACCGCCCGUCACACCAUGGGAGUUUGUUGCACCAGAAGUAGGUAGUCUAACCGCAAGGAGGACGCUUACCACGGUGUGGCCGAUGACUGGGGUGAAGUCGUAACAAGGUAGGCGUAGAUGA